UACAGAGGUGACAAACGUUGUCCGGAAUUAUUGGGCGUAAAGGGCGCGUAGGUGGUUGAGUAAGUCAGGUGUGAAAGCUCUGGGCUUAACCCAGGAAUUGCAUCUGAUACUGCUCGGCUUGAGUACGGUAGAGGAGGGUGGAAUUCCCAGUGUAGCGGUGAAAUGCGUAGAUAUUGGGAGGAACACCGGUGGCGAAGGCGGCCCUCUGGACCGAAACUGACACUGAAGCGCGAAAGCUAGGGGAGCAAACGGGAUUAGAUACCCCGGUAGUCCUAGCCUUAAACGAUGAGUACUAGGUGUAGGAGGUAUUGACCCCUUCUGUGCCGCAGCUAACGCAUUAAGUACUCCGCCUGGGAACUACGACCGCAAGGUUGAA
Molecule: ribosomal RNA, 376 nt
Filed under: uncultured bacterium
Lineage: Bacteria
Description: bacterial SSU rRNA
Rfam family: Bacterial small subunit ribosomal RNA
Source: RNAcentral